AAUGGACAGCCCCUUAUGAGUGCACACUGCACAGUGGUAUGCCAUAACUAAAAAAUGACCUCAAUUAAACUAGAUAUAACCACGAUAACAUCAGGACAAUCUCUCAAUAAAUAUCUUUAUGAGUUCCCUUCACCGGAACGUUGCCGUAGAGCCCAAGAAUAGCAGAUAUUUUUAAUAGACAUUUCAGUUGAAUCCCAGUAUUCUUCUCAUGGUUCUAAUCAAAAGGCUGAACCAAGGGACACUAGUUGACUAUAAGUUACAACUAAAACAUCUCACACAAACGUUCCUCAACGGAACGGACACUUCAGAAAAAAAAAUCACUCGCACUUUGCGCGCAAACUUCUAUACCCUUCACCAUGACCCUCGAGAGCACCCCGAGUCUGCUCAACACGGUUCCCUCAUCAAAGUAUCACCACCACCAAUAGAUUCUUGUCCGUAUCUCCAUCCCGUUCGGAAGGAGGUCUACUUGUCGAGUUCAUAUCUACCUCGCUAAGACGCACACCCUAAAUUUCUUUAGGAUUUUGUCUGGUUCUGGCCUUGACUACACCCAUGACAAUUGACCAUGUGCACGAUUGUCAGGAAAAAAACGCGCCGAAAAACUUUCGUGUCAUGUUUUAUCAAGUUCUGUGAGAAAAAUGUAUUCGUUGCAGCUGUGAGCGAUCAAUCUCCGAUGGAGUUAUAGAGUUUCCUGAUGGAAUUUUGAAACUGCCGGACAUCGAAUAAUUGUUGCUGCUACCGUCUAUUCUGCCUGCUUCUGCUGGUAAGUUCUUUGCUCUUACGUGAAGGUCGAGCUGAAAAUCUAGAAUUUCACCAGAACGCAAGCAUCUGUCGGAACCCCUUGAUGUCGAAACUGCCGGAUGAAGCAAGCUGCCGUAGAUCCCGAAGUUUCUAGAGCUUCCGUUUGCUGUAAGAAUUUCCGGCCUUUGUUAUGUUUUAAGUUAUAAUCGUGGAUGUUUUCGUUUCUGAUAAAUAAAUAAGGGGGAAGGGUUAGGGCCAUGAGGCACAGUUUCAGCGGCGUCGUACAGAGAUCCUCCCGCGUAUCGUCCGAGCUGCGUCGUAAGAUAAUUCGUCCAAGAACGUCCAGGUAUUUCCGGAGAGUUCACCAAGGAGAUCCAUCUACAUGUCGUCCCUGCUGCGUAGAAAGGAGAUACAUCCGGGAGUUGCUGGAGAGUCCUUCAAGGAAAUAAGCUCGCUUUUCCCAACUGCGUCGUAAGCUGAUCCAUCCAGGAGUUGCUGAAGAACUCUCCAAGGAGUUCCGCUCGCGUGUCAUCCCAGUUACUUUGUAAUGAGAUUGAUUGGUCCAGGAGUUGCUGGAGCAUCCUCCAAUAAGAUUCGUCAGUGUGUUGUCCCAGCUGCGUCGUCGGGUGACUAGUCCACAUAUGGGUUUAUCCGCAUAUUGAAGGAUCCGUCCAGGAGUUCCGUCGGUGAUUAUAGAGUAAGUCAUCCAGUAAAAGUAAUGCGAUAACACACUCCUAAUGUAUUUAUUAAUAAGUUUAGCAUUUAGGUUUUGUUUUAAAUAUUUAUUUAAUUUGUAAGAAAAUAAAAUUUAUGAACAUA
Long non-coding RNA from Aedes albopictus (Asian tiger mosquito), 1557 nucleotides. RefSeq lists it as uncharacterized. The transcript has 2 exons. The record is from RefSeq and is a predicted model, not a curated record. Lineage: Eukaryota; Metazoa; Arthropoda; Insecta; Diptera; Culicidae.